AGAAAUCGAAGAGAUUCCCUUAGUAGCGGCGAGCGAAGCGGGAAGAGCCCAAACCUGACUAUCUAUAGUUGGGGGUAGUAGGACUACAUAACGUUACUUUAAUUUUAUAGUGGAACAAUCUGGAAAGUUUGACCAUAGAAGGUGAAAGUCCUGUAUACGAAAUAAAAUGAAGAGCAGUAGAAUCCUGAGUAGUGCGGAACAAGAGAAAUUUUGCAUGAAUUCGCCCAGACCACUGGGUAAGGCUAAAUACUCCUCGGUGACCGAUAGAGAAAAAGUACCGUGAGGGAAAGGUGAAAAGAACCCUUAAGAAGGGAGUGAAAUAGAACCUGAAACCACAUGCCUACAAACGGAGGGAGCGACAUAAGUUGUGACCUCGUGCCUUUUGUUUAAUGAGCCAACGAGUUGCUCGUAAUAUGCGAGGUUAAGUUUAUGAAUAAACGUACCCGUAGCGAAAGCGAGUCUAAAUAGGGCGAUAGUAUAUUGCGGCAGACGCGAAACCCGGUGAUCUAUCCAUGUGCAGGAUGAAGCUUAGGUAACACUAAGUGGAGGUCCGAACCAGUUUACGUUGAAAAGUAUUUGGAUGACGUGUGGAUAGGGGUGAAAGGCCAAUCAAACUGGGUUAUAGCUCGUACUCCCCGAAAUGCAUUUAGGUGCAGCCUUAUUACAGUGAAUCGGAGGUAGGGCACUGAUAGGGUUAGGGCUACACAGUAGUACCGCCCCCUGAUAAACUUCGAAUUCCGACUUCAUGAUUAAUAGGAGUGAGGCAGUGUGAGAUAAGUUUCAUUGCCGAGAGGGAAAGAACCCGGAUCAUCAGCUAAGGUCCCCAAGUAAAUACUAACAGAUAAAGGAUGUUGUGUUGCCUAGACAGCCAGGAUGUUGGCUUAGAAGCAGCCAUUCGUUCAAAGAGUGCGUAAUAGCUCACUGGUCGAGCGAUACAGCGCCGACAAUACACGGGACUAAGUAUUUCACCGAAGCUAUGGAUUUGUAUCUUUUAGGUACAAGUGGUAGGGGAGCAUUCUAUUCAGCGUCGAAGGUGUAUCGUGAGGUAUGCUGGAGCGUAUAGAAGAGCAAAUGUUGGCAUUAGUAACGAUAACGGGGGUGAGAAUCCCCCGCGCCGAAAGUCUAAGGUUUCCUAGAGCACUGUUCGUCAGCUCAGGGUUAGUCGGCCCCUAAGGCCAGGCCGAAAGGCGUAGUCGAUGGGAAUAUGGUAAAAUAAUAAAUAUUCCAUAACCACCGAAAGAGUUAAUCAUAGGGACGCAGGAGUUACUUUAAUAAAAGUUAAUGGCUAUCUUUUAUUAGAUAUACACACUGCCAAGAAAAGCUAUGAGAAUUUCUUAGGUGACCGUACCGCAAACCGACACAGGUAGACGGGUUGAGUAUACUCAGGCGCGCGAGUGAAUCGCUGUUAAGGAACUCGGCAAAUUGACCUCGUAACUUCGGGAGAAGAGGUGCCUGCAUAAUGCAGGCCGCAGAGAAAUGGCUCUGGCGACUGUUUAACAAAAACACAGCUCACUGCUAACUCGUUAAGAGGAAGUAUAGUGAGUGACGCCUGCCCGGUGCUGGAAGGUUAAAAGGAGAUGUCAGCGUAAGCGAAGCAUUGAAUUGAAGCCCCAGUAAACGGCGGCCGUAACUAUAACGGUCCUAAGGUAGCGAAAUUCCUUGUCGGGUAAGUUCCGACCUGCACGAAU
This 1688-nucleotide ribosomal RNA is filed under the name oral metagenome. RNAcentral describes it as "bacterial LSU rRNA". It matches the Rfam family "Bacterial large subunit ribosomal RNA", at positions 216 to 1997 of the family's 2925-position model. The record is from RNAcentral.